CGGCAACACGUUGCGAAACAAAACUACGCGCCUGCAACCCCGCUGGAUGGCCCCGCGGCCGGAAGAGCCACGUCGGCUCCGCCCACCUUUGUGUCGUGGGCGGGGCGUUUCCAACCGGCUGACGCGCACGCGCUGGGAGGCCCCGCCCCCCAUCCCGCCUCCCGCGAUAUCGUGUGGUCGGGCAUCAAGCUGUGGGGCGGUCGCCAGCUCGGUUCUUCGGGACCUUCGGGACAGGGCUGGGGAGCCCGCCCAAAAAGGUCGUUUCUCCUGCAGUUUCCAACAUGGCAGGCAAGUUUUAUAGACAUGGAUAAGAAGUCCAUACACAGAAGUCCUGAAGAUGCCGGGACCGGCAGAAAUGGAGGUGCUCCCCAGGGAAAAAUUAAAAGAAAGAGAGAAGAGAAAAGGGGUAAAUGGAAAAAAAAGAAAGAGAGGACAAAAGAUGAAACAUCAAGAAAAAGAAAGAGAAGAAAAAAAGGAGGGAAUGGCCACAUGCUAUCACCUUUCCAAGAGGGGCUGAAACCAGGCUAAACUCGUUGAUUUCUGAAACUCAGUCCUUUGGUGUAAGGUGGCCAAACGAGAAUGCAGAGCCCAGCACGGUGAAAGCUACAGUGGAGGAGCUUGGGGACGGCACGUCUUUCACACCACGUCUAGACUCCUGACACCAAUCUUCACGUCCCCUGUAACCACACAAUAAAAAGUUGGGAAAUCACAUUGUGUUUAUGAAGAUCCACGUCCAACACCGGAGAGCCUGACGACAAGCCAGUUGUGGCCAUUUUAGGAUGCUUACCCUGUUUGCAAAUAUUCUGUAGGGAAGGAGGAGAUUGAGCCUACUUCUCUUAAAUGUAUGCCUAAUAAUUGCAACUAAAAUACUUACACCAAAGUCCUACACAAAGCAGAAGACUUACAGAUGGCAUGAAAAAGCUAAAGCCUUCCCAAGUUUCAUGUUUCUGUUUUUUACUAAUGUCCCCUUCUUUCAACAAGUGUUAUCAGUUUUCGUAAUCUCAGUGUUUGUUCUGGAGCCUGAUGUAAUGUUCUUUUACUCUUGUUACUCCAGGUACACUGAUGAUAAGUUUCCAACCAAAAGCUUUCAUCUCUAAAGAUGAUCACUUUGUUUAUAAAACAAGAAAGGAGAAAGCAGUUCCCCAGUCAGCCCUUGCUGUUGCCUCUAACGGUUUUACGCAUCGUUGGGCCUUUUGCUCGCUUGGGUUUGUGAGGGAAUGUGUGUCCAAUCUAACCAUGUCCUUGAUAGUUGCCUUUAAAAGAAGCUCCUGCUAGAAGUGAAUGAUGGCGACAGGGCUAGGUUUAUUGUUUUGAACUGGAAGUUGAGGUACUAUUAUUUUGUUAUUCAGGCAAAACUAAAAGAUUGAAAUUAAUCUUGAAUAGGGGCUGGCCCCACGCCCCGGUGGUUAAGUUUGGCGCUCUCUUCUUCUGUGGCCCAGAUUCAGCUCCUGGGUGCAGACCUACACCACUUGUCAGCAGCCGUGCUGUGGUGGUGACCCACGUACAAAAUAGAGGAAGAUCAGCACAGAUGUUAGCUCAGAGACAAUCUUCCUCACCAAAAAGUAAAUUAAAAUUAAAAAAUAAAUGAAUAAUCUUGAAUGCUGUUUUGUGCUGAAGUUAGAGUUUAAGAUGUUAUUCAUAUCACCGUAAUGUGGUGGUGUUACUGAAUGCCAUUCCUUGAAGGGUUUUUUCCCUUCAAAGUAAAAUUAUAAUAGGAUUGUAGUUAAAUUAAAUUAAGCAUCUUUAUCUUUGAUUAUAAAGAGAUUUAGCACAACUGUACAUUAUUUUUCCUCCUAUAUUGUGUUGGACUCCUAGUAUUUGUGUAUCAAGAAAGCAUUUCCUUAUAUUUGAAUGAUAACAUUUUAAAAACAUACCAGCAGAGGACAUAGGUUUUUUGCUUUUUGGUAUUUUUUUUUUUCAUUUUUGAUUUACUGAAGAAAUAAAGGCAUUUUAGUUUGCAAAUGGACUGUUUUCUUUUUUCCAGGAAAACUAAAAUUCACAAUUAUGGGAUAACCAUGGUCUCUUCAAGAGGACAAAAUAAAAUAUAGGCAUUAGACAUUAAAGUUAUUCCAAAACUUUGUUUUAAUUUGCGGAUUAACUAAAACAGUGAGCAUGCUCUCUGGAGGAGAGCAUAAGAGCAGUGGCAGG
Equus caballus (horse) is the source of this 2148-nucleotide long non-coding RNA. NCBI's taxonomy places the organism in Eukaryota, Metazoa, Chordata, Mammalia, Perissodactyla, Equidae. The record is from Ensembl.